This 467-nucleotide ribosomal RNA is filed under the name uncultured bacterium. RNAcentral's name for it is "partial 16S ribosomal RNA". It matches the Rfam family "Bacterial small subunit ribosomal RNA", at positions 29 to 507 of the family's 1533-position model. The record is from RNAcentral.
ACGCACGCUGGCGGCGUGCUUAACCCAUGCAAGUCGAACGGAAAGGCCCUGCUUUUGUGUGGUGCUCGAGUGGCGAACGGGUGAGUAACACGUGAGUAACCUGCCCUUGACUUUGGGAUAACUUCAGGAAACUGGGGCUAAUACCGGAUAGGAGCUCCUGCUGCAUGGUGGGGGUUGGAAAGUUUCGGCGGUUGGGGAUGGACUCGCGGCUUAUCAGCUUGUUGGUGGGGUAGUGGCUUACCAAGGCUUUGACGGGUAGCCGGCCUGAGAGGGUGACCGGCCACAUUGGGACUGAGAUACGGACCAGACUCCUACGGGAGGCAGCAGUGGGGAAUAUUGCACAAUGGGCGGAAGCCUGAUGCAGCAACGCCGCGUGCGGGAUGACGGCCUUCGGGUUGUAAACCGCUUUCGCCUGUGACGAAGCGUGAGUGACGGUAAUGGGUAAAGAAGCACCGGCUAACUACGUG